UACGAAGGUGGCUAGCGUUGUUCGGAAUCACUGGGCUUAAAGCGCAUGUAGGCGGUCUCGUAAGCGUCUUGUGAAAGCCCCCGGCUCAACCGGGGAAUCGCUGGGCGAACUGCGAGACUUGAGGCAAGUAGGGGUGCGUGGAACUCUUGGUGGAGCGGUGAAAUGCGUAGAUAUCAAGAGGAACGCCGGUGGCGAAAGCGGCGCACUGGGCUUGUCCUGACGCUGAGAUGCGAAAGCUAGGGUAGCGAACGGGAUUAGAUACCCCGGUAGUCCUAGCCGUAAACGAUGCCUACUAGGUCGGAGCCCCUCUGACGGGGUUCCGGCCGAAACGAAAGCAUUAAGUAGGCCGCCUGGGGAGUACGGUCGCAAGGCUAAA
This 376-nucleotide ribosomal RNA is filed under the name uncultured bacterium. RNAcentral's name for it is "bacterial SSU rRNA". It matches the Rfam family "Bacterial small subunit ribosomal RNA", at positions 524 to 898 of the family's 1533-position model. The record is from RNAcentral.